This 301-nucleotide ribosomal RNA is filed under the name uncultured bacterium. Its description in RNAcentral is "partial 16S ribosomal RNA". It matches the Rfam family "Bacterial small subunit ribosomal RNA", at positions 509 to 809 of the family's 1533-position model. The record is from RNAcentral.
CAGCAGCCGCGGUAACACGUAGGUGGCAAGCGUUGUCCGGAAUUAUUGGGCGUAAAGGGCUCGCAGGCGGUUUCUUAAGUCUGAUGUGAAAGCCCCCGGCUCAACCGGGGAGGGUCAUUGGAAACUGGGAAACUUGAGUGCAGAAGAGGAGAGUGGAAUUCCACGUGUAGCGGUGAAAUGCGUAGAGAUGUGGAGGAACACCAGUGGCGAAGGCGACUCUCUGGUCUGUAACUGACGCUGAGGAGCGAAAGCGUGGGGAGCGAACAGGAUUAGAUACCCCCGUAGUCCCUGUCUCUUAUAA